Molecule: ribosomal RNA, 220 nt
Filed under: uncultured bacterium
Lineage: Bacteria
Description: partial 16S ribosomal RNA
Rfam family: Bacterial small subunit ribosomal RNA
Source: RNAcentral
CGCGUGGGUAACCUGCCUCAUACAGGGGGAUAGCAGCUGGAAACGGCUGGUAAUACCGCAUAAGCGCACAGUACCACAUGGUACAGUGUGAAAAACUCCGGUGGUAUGAGAUGGACCCGCGUCUGAUUAGCUUGUUGGCGGGGUAACGGCCCACCAAGGCGACGAUCAGUAGCCGACCUGAGAGGGUGACCGGCCACAUUGGGACUGAGACACGGCCCAG